This 498-nucleotide ribosomal RNA is filed under the name uncultured bacterium. RNAcentral describes it as "partial 16S ribosomal RNA". It matches the Rfam family "Bacterial small subunit ribosomal RNA", at positions 30 to 523 of the family's 1533-position model. The record is from RNAcentral.
AUUGAACGCUGGCGGCAUGCCUUACACAUGCAAGUCGAACGGUAACAGGUCUUCGGAUGCUGACGAGUGGCGAACGGGUGAGUAAUACAUCGGAACGUGCCUAGUAGUGGGGGAUAACUACUCGAAAGAGUGGCUAAUACCGCAUGAGAUCUACGGAUGAAAGCGGGGGAUCGCAAGACCUUGUGCUACUAGAGCGGCCGAUGGCAGAUUAGGUAGUUGGUGGGAUAAAAGCUUACCAAGCCGACGAUCUGUAGCUGGUCUGAGAGGACGAUCAGCCACACUGGGACUGAGAAACGGCCCAGACUCCUACGGGAGGCAGCAGUGGGGAAUUUUGGACAAUGGGCGCAAGCCUGAUCCAGCAAUGCCGCGUGCAGGAUGAAGGCCUUCGGGUUGUAAACUGCUUUUGUACGGAACGAAAAGCCCCGGGUUAAUACCCUGGGGUCAUGACGGUACCGUAAGAAUAAGCACUGGCUAAUUACGUGCCAGCCGCCGCAGUAA